Molecule: long non-coding RNA, 432 nt
Filed under: Rattus norvegicus (Norway rat)
Lineage: Eukaryota; Metazoa; Chordata; Mammalia; Rodentia; Muridae
Description: long non-coding RNA NONRATT018682
Source: RNAcentral
UAUUUAUUUAUAUUAAUUAUGAAGAUUAUGAUAUUAUUUGAUUGCAGAUUCUUCUCUUUUUCCUUUUCUUUCUUUCUUUCUUUUCUUUUCUUUUCUUUUUUCUUUUCUUUCUUUUUUUUUUUUUUUGUGAGCUUUCCCCCUGCCACCUUUGACAUUUCACUGUGCAUUUUAGGAAAGAACCUUUUUGCUAGAGGGGCCUGCUGAAAGUUUUUAACUUUUCUAUCUAUCGAGGGAAUUACAGACAACGUACCAUUUUAUUCUGCUUGAGGGGCCCCAAGGCCCUUGUACAACCGACAGCUCUUACUUUUAAAUGCAAUCUCUUUUCUACAUACAUUAUUUUCUUAAUUGUUAGCUAUUUAUAGAAAGCUUCGAUAGAACUGUUUCAACUGUAUAAAUAUUUACUAUUCAAAUAAAAUAUUUUCAAAGUCAAAA